UCCCUGGUAGUUCAGCGGUUAAGCAUCUGCCUGCCAAUGCAGGGGACCUGGGUUCGAUCCCUGGUCUGGGAA
This 72-nucleotide transfer RNA is filed under the name Bos taurus (domestic cattle). It matches the Rfam family "tRNA". From Rfam's summary of the family: Transfer RNA (tRNA) molecules are approximately 80 nucleotides in length. Lineage: Eukaryota; Metazoa; Chordata; Mammalia; Artiodactyla; Bovidae. The record is from Rfam by way of RNAcentral. RNAcentral also lists the same sequence under 3 other names.